Unclassified non-coding RNA from Panthera pardus (leopard), 313 nucleotides. Its record names the gene 7SK. It matches the Rfam family "7SK RNA". From Rfam's summary of the family: 7SK was discovered as an abundant small nuclear RNA in the mid-70s but a possible function has only recently been suggested. Two independent studies have found that 7SK RNA binds the CDK9/cyclin T complex (known as elongation factor P-TEFb). P-TEFb activates transcription by phosphorylating the C-terminal domain of RNA polymerase II. The record is from Ensembl. Lineage: Eukaryota; Metazoa; Chordata; Mammalia; Carnivora; Felidae.
AGGUGUGAGGAUGACUUACUUGUGGCCUUUCUCUCUGUGUGUUGGCAGGGACCGAUGCAACCUAUCUGGCUGGCUAGGCAGGCAGCCCCUUCCUUCCUCACCUGAAGCUUUGUGCUCAAAGAGGUCAUUCUCCUUCUCAAAUAAACAAGGACCAUCUUUCGGACUUGAGUAUGUGGGAAAUUGUGCUCCUCUACUAAUCCUUCUGAAUGAUCCCUCGAGGUCCAAGAAGAAACUUGCAGGGUGUUUGUGAGGGUUAGAUGACAUCACAGAUAUAAAACACUCUGUAAACCCUAAGGGUUUCUUCCAUUUGGUU